Molecule: long non-coding RNA, 292 nt
Filed under: Elaeis guineensis (African oil palm)
Lineage: Eukaryota; Viridiplantae; Streptophyta; Magnoliopsida; Arecales; Arecaceae
Description: long non-coding RNA (EGUI_LNC063952)
Source: RNAcentral
GGGGCACCUAAAUCAAUCGAACUAAUUUUCUAGUAAGCAUAGAUCAACCUUAAUCAUUAAGUGAUUUGAUCAAAACUUGAUUCACCAUAUUGGCCAGGUAAGUGAGAGCGGUGGGAGGGAUAUACCAUUAACUCAUCAUAGACUCAAUCUAUGUGAGUAGCUCCUAAUUAAAAAUCACUAAUCAAGAUUGUUAAACUUACUUUAGACACUAACUGGUUAAUCAGUUUCAACUGGAUCAACUUAUGAAUUUGGGUUCGACCACUGAGUUUGAGAUUAAAGUUCAUUUGGCUCU